Molecule: ribosomal RNA, 43 nt
Filed under: Peromyscus maniculatus bairdii (prairie deer mouse)
Lineage: Eukaryota; Metazoa; Chordata; Mammalia; Rodentia; Cricetidae
Source: RNAcentral
CCUGAAUAUGUCUGAUCUCAUCUAAUCUCAGUAGCUAAGCAGG